CCUACGGGGCGCAGCAGUGGGGAAUAUUGCACAAUGGGGGAAACCCUGAUGCAGCGACGCCGCGUGAGUGAGGAAGAAUUUCGGUAUGUAAGCCUCUAUCAGCAGGGAAGAAAAUGACGGUACCUGACUAGGAAGCCCCGGCUAACUACGUGCCAGCAGCCGCGGUAAUACGUAGGGGGCAAGCGUUAUCCGGAUUUACUGGGUGUAAAGGGAGCGUAGACGGAGUAGCAAGUCUGUUGUGAAAAUCCGGGGCUUAACCCCGGAACUGCAUUGGAAACUGU
Molecule: ribosomal RNA, 281 nt
Filed under: uncultured bacterium
Lineage: Bacteria
Description: partial 16S ribosomal RNA
Rfam family: Bacterial small subunit ribosomal RNA
Source: RNAcentral